GACAUUCCUCUUUUAACGACGUUAUGGAGUUCUGCUGUGCCAGGCGCAUCUUAUUGAUCAGCUCCCCUAAAUCCUUGUUCAGCAGUUUCUUAGUGCCAUCGAUCUGAGACGAAGAGGAAAGAAGAUGGUAAAAUGACAGACUGAUGAAGUGAGGCCUACCUCUGUUGUGACAGAGCUGUGCAGGGAGGGCAGGAUAUCAUCAACACUUUGGAUCAGGCUACGAAGAGCGAUGCCCACCACCUGAAGGUGGACGAGGGAGGGAGGCAAAGACAGGGGGAUGGAAGAGGGAUGGAUAUCUCUACAUUUUUAAGGUGGUAUUUGUUUAAGAUUUGAACAGCCCCAGAAAAAAAACACUUCCCAGCUUCUCAGAGAACA
Molecule: long non-coding RNA, 375 nt
Organism: Sander lucioperca (pikeperch)
Lineage: Eukaryota; Metazoa; Chordata; Actinopteri; Perciformes; Percidae
Exons: 2
Source: RefSeq, a predicted model, not a curated record